GUAGGUGGCAAGCGUUGUCCGGAAUUAUUGGGCGUAAAGCGCGCGCAGGCGGUUCUUUAAGUCUGAUGUGAAAGCCCACGGCUCAACCGUGGAGGGUCAUUGGAAACUGGAGGACUUGAGUACAGAAGAGGAAAGCGGAAUUCCACGUGUAGCGGUGAAAUGCGUAGAGAUGUGGAGGAACACCAGUGGCGAAGGCGGCUUUUCUGGUCUGUAACUGACGCUGAGGCGCGAAAGCGUGGGGAGCAAACAGGGAUUAGAUACCCUGGUAGUCCACGCCGUAAACGAUGAGUGCUAAGUGUUAGGGGGGUUUCCGCCCCCCUUAGUGCUGCAGCUAACGCAUUAAGCACUCCGCCUGGGGAGUACGGCCGCAAGGCUG
This 376-nucleotide ribosomal RNA is filed under the name uncultured organism. Its description in RNAcentral is "partial 16S ribosomal RNA". It matches the Rfam family "Bacterial small subunit ribosomal RNA", at positions 527 to 896 of the family's 1533-position model. The record is from RNAcentral.